AUACGGAGGGUGCAAGCGUUAAUCGGAAUUACUGGGCGUAAAGCGCACGCAGGCGGUUAAUUAAGUUAGAUGUGAAAUCCCCGGGCUUAACCUGGGAAUGGCAUCUAAAACUGGUUAGCUAGAGUCUUGUAGAGGGGGGUAGAAUUCCAUGUGUAGCGGUGAAAUGCGUAGAGAUGUGGAGGAAUACCGGUGGCGAAGGCGGCCCCCUGGACAAAGACUGACGCUCAGGUGCGAAAGCGUGGGGAGC
RNAcentral lists this ribosomal RNA (247 nucleotides) under uncultured bacterium. RNAcentral's name for it is "partial 16S ribosomal RNA". It matches the Rfam family "Bacterial small subunit ribosomal RNA", at positions 523 to 769 of the family's 1533-position model. The record is from RNAcentral.